Patella vulgata (common limpet) is the source of this 1823-nucleotide long non-coding RNA. RefSeq lists it as uncharacterized. Lineage: Eukaryota; Metazoa; Mollusca; Gastropoda; Patellidae. The transcript is spliced from 6 exons. The record is from RefSeq and is a predicted model, not a curated record.
GAUUGUAUAAUAUGCAAAAUGGCGAUAUAUAAUUUUAUGCUUAGCAUGGUGAUAAUAUCCAUGGUUCACCGGUAUGGUAUUGGCCAAAUGGUAAAAUCCGUUUUAGUAUGCGACGUACCAUCAAGGAAUGAUUUUUAUAAUUGCGUAAAUUACAAUGGUGAAACUAAAAUAAGAUGUGAUCCUCACCACGCUGUUUUGAUAACGAAUAUUACAGUGGGAUAUUAUAAUGAAAAAGAAGAGCGGACUUGUUGUCAGUGGAUGCCAGACAAUAUCUGUACUGUAGACCUUGGUGGUGGUGAAAAUACUUUGAUCUCAAUGCUCAGUCAAUAAGAAUGCAUAGGCAAUCAAACAUGUUCUGUAUCAUACUUGGGAGGGUGGAUUGAUUUUUUAGAUGAUCAUGACAGUUGUUCAUCUCAAACUUUAAUGGCAAACUUUGAAUAUAUGUGUGUUAGUAAUACAUCAAUUGGAAGUAUAAACAAACCCUGGAUAAACCACAACUUGAAGAGUGUAUCUCUGUUUUAUGAUUGGAAGCGUCCCCCAGUCUUGAACGGCCAUUACUAUUGUAGUAUUGAGAUCAGAGCGGAUGAUAAUGAUGCAUAUAUUUAUCCCUGGUUCUCGUUUCUUUUAUUUUAUUAUCGUAGUAGAGUGACGAUUUAUAGUAGAGAUUAUAGAGUUAGCUAUAAAGCAAAUAUGACGCGUGGGGAGCGUCAAAAAUAUCUGGCUUAUAAACAAAUGAAACCAACAAAGGGACCAAUAUACGUGAUUUAUGAAACUCCCGGUCACCCAUUCAAUUAUAGCUUUUUAUGGAUUAAUUUUAAAGCUUCUCGAGGUCGUCUUAAUGUCAACUCUAAAGGCUGUAAAAGUGGUUAUACUGUUCCACCAAUGUUUAACAUACAACCAUCUCCACCAGAUCAAACUAGUUCGUCUGUACCACCAAUAUUUAAUGUAACGUCAUCUCCAGGAAAUGACCAAACUACAUCAUCAGAUAACAUAUGGAUAUAUGGUUUAAUUGGUGGUCUUGUUAUCGUUGCUGUAUUCGGCCUUGUCAAGAUUGGUUUUGCCAUUUAAAACAAUUUGUUAUAGAAACUGUACCAAAAGGAACACCAUAACAGCUACUGAACAACCAACUGAAUCAGUAGAAAUGAAGACUCAACCUAGCUCACUUCUAUGAUUAUAUUGAACCUGGUACAACGGAUGAAAGUUCUGUAUAAUAACCACACUCCAUUCAGUAUACAUCUACAAUCUUAAACUAAAAUUCUAAUUUAACCUACUGUGUUCUGAUCAGGCAUUUUCUACUAGAAAUAUUGGAAACAUGUCAGCCUGGGCUUAUAUAAUAUAAUUACCUCUAUGGUGAAUACCGUAACUUGCUAAUAUUUUUUUUGAAAACUGAUAAAAUAAUUCCACGGACUUUUUUCUGUUGUAAAUAAUUUUAAUCAUUAAAAUAACAUCACAUAUUUGCGGGCAUAAGCCUAACCAUCUAACUAACAUAUUAUAUAACUCGAUUUCAAUACAUCGCAGCUAUCUUUAGAAGUGUUUGGAAACAAGGGCACAGUAGUUUAGCACACGAGAUUGAGCCCAAUCCUCGUCAUGAACAAAUCUCGGACCACACCGAUAAAUUACAUGGAUAAUAUUAUAAUCUUUUAUUCGCUCAAGUCCCGUUUAACAGCAAAGCAGCAAUUAUUUUGUUCGUGUGUUCAUUUGAUAUUCCUUGUGUUUUGCUAUGUGCUAUUUAUUAUUAUAGUAAUUAUUAUUGCUGUUGUGUCUUUAAUAUAACCUUUAACUACGUGUUAAAUCAACUUGGUUUAUUGUAUCUUUUAUAUAAC